RNAcentral lists this small nuclear RNA (22 nucleotides) under Arabidopsis thaliana (thale cress). Its description in RNAcentral is "snRNA_13994". The record is from RNAcentral. Lineage: Eukaryota; Viridiplantae; Streptophyta; Magnoliopsida; Brassicales; Brassicaceae.
GUAUGCCCGUGGUACGCCUGCA